UACGUAGGGGGCAAGCGUUAUCCGGAUUUACUGGGUGUAAAGGGAGCGUAGACGGCCAGACAAGUCUGAAGUGAAAAUCCAGCGCUUAACGUUGGAAGUGCUUUGGAAACUGCCGGGCUAGAGUGCAGGAGGGGCUGGCGGAAUUCCUAGUGUAGCGGUGAAAUGCGUAGAUAUUAGGAGGAACACCAGUGGCGAAGGCGGCCUGCUGGACUGCAACUGACGUUGAGGCUCGAAGGCGUGGGGAGCAAACAGG
RNAcentral lists this ribosomal RNA (253 nucleotides) under uncultured bacterium. RNAcentral describes it as "partial 16S ribosomal RNA". It matches the Rfam family "Bacterial small subunit ribosomal RNA", at positions 524 to 776 of the family's 1533-position model. The record is from RNAcentral.